This is a long non-coding RNA of Oncorhynchus kisutch (coho salmon), 564 nucleotides long. RefSeq lists it as uncharacterized. The record is from RefSeq and is a predicted model, not a curated record. The transcript is spliced from 3 exons. NCBI's taxonomy places the organism in Eukaryota, Metazoa, Chordata, Actinopteri, Salmoniformes, Salmonidae.
UAACCUUUAUUUAACUAGGCAAGUCAGUUAAGAACAAAUUCUUAUUUACAAUGACGGCCUACUUUUAAAGCCUCCCCCGGUCUAAACUCUCCCCUAACCCGGACAGGGCUGGGCCAAUUGUGCGCCGCCCUAUGGGACACCCGAUCACGGCCGGUUGUAAUACAACCGAGAUCAAACGCGGGUCUGUUGUGGUGCCUCUUGCACUGCGAUGCAGUACCUUGGACCUCUGUGCCAUUUGGGAGGCACUGUAUGCUCCGGGGACUACACACUUCCCAGCUUGUUCAUGUUUCUGAUGGCAAUAAGAGCUAUAUAUGUGGAUUUGCAGAUGACCGUCUUUGCUCUGCCAUCCCACAGCUCAACACAGAACAUCUGACAGAUGAUAUGCACCAUCACAGAUCCAAUGGUGAUGCAAUACCUUUUAAUGCAGAAGCCAAUGAAAAGCCACCCGGGUUCCACCUAAAGAGAAACAAUGACCUUGUUCACCGACCUCGCUUCCUAUAAGUGCUGAUGAAGUUCUGUUUCUUCAGAACAGUAACACAUAAAAAAGUUCAAAGAAUCCAAUCA